CGAUGAGGUAGAGGUCGCGGUCGUUAUAAGUACGGUGCAGGAGGCAAGAAGAAUGCCUGAGAAUUCACCGGAAAGGAACCACCGCCGAAGCCUUCGCGCAUUCUUCGGCGUGCAGGCUGGGUCCGUUUUCGAAUAGGAACGGAACUGUCACGUUUGCUAUCCUGGCAAACGUGGUGUGCUAUCUUCAUG
Aneurinibacillus migulanus is the source of this 189-nucleotide non-coding RNA. The record is from Rfam. NCBI's taxonomy places the organism in Bacteria, Bacillati, Bacillota, Bacilli, Caryophanales, Paenibacillaceae.